GACGAACGCUGGCGGCGUGGAUUAGGCAUGCAAGUCGAACGGUAUCAUCCUUUCGGGGGUGAGAGAGUGGCGAACUGGUGAGUAACACGUAGGUUAUCUACCCUCAAGACGGGGACAACCCAGGGAAACUUGGGCCAAUACCGGAUGUGAGCAACUUUUAGUUGUUUGAAAGGUGGCGUAAGCUGUCGCUUGGGGAUGAGCCUGCGUCCUAUUAGUUAGUUGGUGAGGUAACGGCUCACCUAGGCAAUGAUAGGUAGGCGGCCUUAACGGGUGGUCGCCCACACUGGGAUUGAGACACGGCCCAGACUCCUACGGGAGGCAGCAGUGGGGAAUAUUGGGCAAUGGCGAAAGCCUGACCCAGCGACGCCGCGUGAAGGAUGAAGGUCUUCGGAUUGUAAACUUCUUUGAUCAGGGAAGAAAGAAAUGACGGUACCUGAAGAACAAGCCACGGCUAACUACGUG
Molecule: ribosomal RNA, 462 nt
Filed under: uncultured bacterium
Lineage: Bacteria
Description: bacterial SSU rRNA
Rfam family: Bacterial small subunit ribosomal RNA
Source: RNAcentral